AGCAUAGCGAUUUGGGAUAAGUCCCUUGGAAGAGGGCAGCAUGGAGGGUGAUACUCCCGUCUCUGCUUAGAUCUGUUGUGUGUACGAUACGCUUUCUUUGAGUCGAGUUGCUUGGGAAUGCAGCUCAAAGCAGGUGGUAAAUUCCAUCUAAAGCUAAAUAUAGGUGCGAGACCGAUAGCGAACAAGUACCGUGAGGGAAAGAUGAAAAGAACUUUGAAAAGAGAGUUAAAGAGUACCUGAAACUGUUGAAAGGGAACCGUAUCGUUUCUAGUGUGUAUCCUAUGCAUAUUUCAUUGGCGGUUGUAAAAUUGCUGGUGCCCUGUGUAUGGGUGUGACGUCAGAGUCAGUUUGAAUUGCGGGAGAUGGGUAGUGAGGAGGUGCGUCACUUUUUGUGAAAGUUACAGCUCGCUAUCUAGUAGCCGUGGUUGAGACUGAGGUGCC
RNAcentral lists this ribosomal RNA (441 nucleotides) under uncultured Oomycota. Its description in RNAcentral is "LSU rRNA". It matches the Rfam family "Eukaryotic large subunit ribosomal RNA", at positions 165 to 604 of the family's 3401-position model. Lineage: Eukaryota; Oomycota. The record is from RNAcentral.